Molecule: long non-coding RNA, 1620 nt
Organism: Toxotes jaculatrix (banded archerfish)
Lineage: Eukaryota; Metazoa; Chordata; Actinopteri; Toxotidae
Exons: 2
Source: RefSeq, a predicted model, not a curated record
GUUUUAACGUACUUUUGCUCGGAGGGAACUUCGUGCGAGCCGUGUUGUUGGAGCUCCGAGUUUCUAGUUAAUCGUUGCUCUGUUUUAUAGUUUUUGAAACCCAACAAAAGGGUAUUUUGUUAGCAAAGGCUAUCGCUGCCAGUUUUUGUUCUUUUGAAUUUGGAAAACUCUCCGUCCAACAGACUUUCUGCCAAGUCACCCGGCCGGAGUCGACGUUUUCCCCCCUCUACAGUUUUUUCGUCGGAUAUGUGUGUCGAAACAAUGAAUACCAGAUCGACACACUUACAAAGCGAUUGUCUGAUGCGUAAAACCAUGAAACCUGGAUCUAAACUGAGGUGGAGGCUUCUCCGUGUGUCCACAGAGGUGGACGGCCCGGCCAAACUUUGUCGAGACACCGCUGUGAGGGCGACCAUCCGAAAAUACCUCCACCGGGAACAGAAACGGGCACAGCUGGCUAAGCUCGCCAAAGUCACGGGAGACGCGGGCAGGAAAGAGAGAAGACAGUUCACGUUUGAGGGAAGUCCCGCUGUGGCCUGUGUGAACCGUCGUCAGCCAGGGGCAAUGGCGCCGGAAAACACCACGCAGUACCUCAUGAGUAACGUGUAUGAGGACAUGAAGACGAGCGACGCCCAGUCAGCCCCAGUUUCGUGCGAAACAUCGGCACAUCUGUAUAGUGAGGCCCUGUCACCCAGGAGUGUGUAUUCUGCUCUGGACUCCGGUUACGAGAGCUGUCUUGCUUUUCAGCAGAGGGACUUUGAGGAAGUGUUUGAUCUGUGCUGGUAACCGGGAUGAACCGGUCUGCGUGGCCUUGUGAAACUGGUCAGGCUUCUGUUCCAGCAGUGACUUUCCCAUAAGGACAAACAUGAAGCGGCGCACUGGACGCUGCCCGCCCAGUAGGGAGCGCUCCUCAGCCAUGCGUUGGCGCCGCCCAGGGGAGCGAGCCAAACGCACUUCAGCUCUGGUCGGGCCACGGAUUGUGAAAUCCAGGUAAACCCGGACAGGUAUCUUUGUUGCACUGUAUUGUCGCUGAUGGCAAUAGUGGUAAAAAUGUGAUGCGAUGAAUGGGGGGGGGGGGGUGCUUUCCACAGUCACUGUUGUCUGAGCGUUUUCCAGGUCACCCCUGAAGGGACACGUGGUUCGGCUGUGUGAGGAUCUGGAGAUCAAGGAGGUCGGUCUUAACCUGAAUGACACAAGGUGACAUUUAGUGUCUGUGUGGUUAUCUUGGCUAUUACCAAGAAGAUCAAAGUCCGGAUGAGUGUGCAAUGAUACUGGUAUCACUUAGUGUAAAAAUGAGUGUGUUAAACUGUAUUUAACCUGAAAUAUUAGAAAUUAUGAUGAUUAAACAAUGACUUUAUUCAGCAAAUGAGCGUUAUAACAAGCAAAAUUGACCCUUUGUGUUACAUUUGUGAUUUUUGUUCAAGAUUUUUGUUCAGUUUUUGUCAGCUAAUCCUGGAUUCUGUAAGUUAUGCCUAAAAUUUAGAAUAAUUGGAAGAGUAAGAAUUCUGAAGUAAAUUAAGUCAAGAACAUUAAAACCAUGAACAUAAACCUGCAUGUGUUGGUUUGCAUCAGUUUCGUCAGUUUAAUGUGUCAUAUCCCAAAAUAAAGACAGUAUGAGCCAUA